GGGCACCUUGCAGAUGAUGGUUUCAUGUCCGCCAGCCGGUUGGCCUGAAAGAAUAGGGAACACGGUGCGGCCUGAUAUUGGGCCAAUUCCGGGACUGCCCCCGCAACUGUAAGCGAAGAGCAUGUCUGCUAAUCCACUGACGCCGAACCAAGAAAAGGUGCGGUUUUGGGAAGGAGCAGGCGCGCAUUGAUCCGCAAGUCAGGAGACCUGCCAUCGCAACUGAAACGUAA
RNAcentral lists this non-coding RNA (230 nucleotides) under Pelagimonas varians. Lineage: Bacteria; Pseudomonadati; Pseudomonadota; Alphaproteobacteria; Rhodobacterales; Roseobacteraceae. The record is from RNAcentral.